RNAcentral lists this ribosomal RNA (208 nucleotides) under uncultured bacterium. RNAcentral describes it as "partial 16S ribosomal RNA". It matches the Rfam family "Bacterial small subunit ribosomal RNA", at positions 568 to 774 of the family's 1533-position model. The record is from RNAcentral.
UGCGCAGGCGGCGUUCCGCGUGGCGAGAUGAAAUCUCCUGGCUUACCUGGGAGGAUGGUCGCCAGACGGGAGCGCUUGAGGGUCGGAGAGGGGCGUGGAAUUCCGGGUGGAGCGGUGAAAUGCGUAGGGAUCCGGAGGAACACCGACGGCGUAGGCAGCGCCCUGGACGACACCUGACGCUGAGGCACGAAAGCUGGGGGAGCGAACA